This is a long non-coding RNA of Ictalurus punctatus (channel catfish), 3547 nucleotides long. NCBI's taxonomy places the organism in Eukaryota, Metazoa, Chordata, Actinopteri, Siluriformes, Ictaluridae. The record is from Ensembl.
UAUAUAUAUAUAUAUAUAUAUAUGUGUGUGUGUGUGUGUGUGUGUGUGUGUAUAUAUAUAUAUAUAUAUAUAUAUACACAAGGUGGAAGGACAUGUCUCCCCCAACCGGGGCAAUGUGGGCACUCUUCAGGGCACGAAAUCAAGUGCACCCUUUGUCUCAUUCUGUGACGUCUGGCAGCCAGAUGGUGUAACACUGAUGUAACUGUCACACAACAGAACAUUCCGGGGCUCGUGGCAUCGCUGCAGAGCCGUUUGGCAGUGAGAGAUGUAUUAUAUCCUGUCGACCAGAUAAACAAGCUCACUGUACAAAUAUAACGAAGAAAAAAAAAUCACUUCAUUUAUACUUCUAUUUAUUACCAAAACUUUUUUUUUUCCUUCUUUCAUAGCUUGCCCUGCCUGACAAACACUCUGUGCAUGCAUUUAGCUAGACACGUAGAGAUGCAUUUUUAGUAAAAGAAAAUUUUAAAAUGCAGUGUUGCACUUUUUUGUUUGUUUUUGUCUUAUUUCUGUUUCCAACCAAUACCUCCAGGAAUAAAAAAAAAAAAAAAAAAAAACAUAACGAUAACAUAAUGUGAGCUAAACGAGAAGAUCAGGAACAGCACAGUUACUAGAGUUUGUGCAAACAGGCCGCUAUGGAAAAGCUUUGAGUUGCUUUCACUUCAGUCUGCGUGUAUAAAUGAUGCCAUUUCAAAUGAUCCGAGGCAAUUAUUAUAAAUAAACCACUUUAUUUAGAGCUAAUCUAAGAAACUGAGCUUCAAGGGGUCAUGUGAACAUUGCUGUGAAGAACACUCACAGUGACAAGCAAGCUGUGUGUUUAAAAAGGAAACUCCAAGUGUUUUCUUUCCUUUUUUUUUUUUUUUAAUGACUCCACAUUUCUAAGGUUAAAUAUGGUGCAAAAAUAUCCUUCCAGGUUUCCAUGGGGCAUAAAAUCUGGUAGAUCAGAUCAGAAUUGCUUUUAGAAACUCAAAUUCAGUGAUGCAAUAUCUUCAAUCAUAAUUGUUAGUGUUAGGGGGGAAAAAAUCUUAUUUCAAAAUAUAUGAAGUUGAUUCAUUCAUGGGCUGGAAAUCUUUUUGUGUUGUAUAAUGGACAAAAAUAGUCCAUGGUAAAAAAAAUUGUAAAAAAUUCACAGACAGUCCACAACAUUAAAUGUAACUGUAAAUGGAUAAUAAAAAUGGAAUCAAUAAAAAUGGUCUUAAAUCUUUGGCAAAUUGAUCUGGUAUAAGAGAAAUGAAAUGCUUAGGGAUAUGUGUCAGGCCACAUUACACCUCUAUCGUUGUUGAUUAUUUUCCUAUAACAUCAUACCAUGUUAUAUUUUAUUCCUUACUGAGCCAACUUUAUGAAAAUGUGCCUGAAUGAAAGGCUUAAUAAAGGUGUCUGGAGAAGCUUAAAUAUAAAUGUAGAUGUUUGCUUUUGGAAAUAGUAGUGAAGUAAAAAUGAAAUACUUUUAUAAUAUAUUUUAUAGUACAGGGAGGUAUGGUGGUUUACUGGUUAGAACAUUUGCCUCGCACCCCCGGGGUUGGGGGUUCAAAUCCCGCUUCUGCCCUGUAUGUGUUGCAUAUUCUCCCUGUGCUUCGGGGGUUUCCUCCUGGUACUGCAGUUUCCUCCCCCAGUCCAAAGACAUGCAUUAUAGGCUGAUUGGCUUUUCCAAAUUGUACAUGGUGUGUGAAUGUGUGUGAUUACACCCUGUCCAGGUUGCCCCCUGCCUUGUACCCCGAGUUCACUGGGCUAGUCUCCAGGCUCCUGCUCGUGCGACCCUGUGUAGAAUAAACGGUAUGAAAAGAUGGAUGGAUGUAUUUUAUAAUACAGUCACCUACAGUAUUUCAUCUAUUUACAAUCACUGUCAUUGGUCAUUUUUAUUCACAUAAGUUGAACUGUAUUUAAGUUCUCUGGCUGCACAAACCUGUCUGAGGCCAUUUUUGCACCAUGACAUACACUGGAAACUUUGUUUUCACAAAAUGAAGUGCUGUGAAACGUUCAGAAAAAUAUGGACAAUGGGAUUUUCCUUUAGAAACACUACAGUUUUAGAUCUACUUUACCAGGCAUAUUUCACUAUAUGUGAGCUAGUGAGGAUGAUUUCAUUUCCUGUGCUUUUUAUAUGCUGUCACCGUCUAAACGAGUCCACGGUUGGACCGCUAAAACAAUACGCGCACGAGUUUGAAACACUUCAGCUUUUCUAGUCGAGUUCGUUUACUGCCAGAAUCUCGUCUCACUCAUGAAUGAACAGCUCCAGAGUCAACACUGAGAAUGUGUUUGUGUAGAAGAGAGAGGUUUGUGAAGUAGGAAUGUAGGAUGAUAUAGACUUAUACACUGACAUUUUAGACUUAUACACUGCUAUAGACUCUUACUGAUGUUAUUCUAAUGAAUGCAGUGCGAUGAGAGAUGGCUCGAGAAUAAAGAAAUCAGUAUACUGUAUGUAGGGGAUGUUAUUAGCACAGGAAUCUUUCUUCAGGUACAGUGGGUGGGUUGGAGUAAGAGCUCCAUUGCUCUCUGUCUGAUAUGUGGGGCUGAAGGGUGGGGGUUGGGUUAAAGAUUGUGUUAUAAUUUUGGGUUUCUUGGCACAAUGUACUAGAUGUAAGCUAAAUACAGAAUCUUAUUAUUAAACUAUGUUAAUGAAAUGCUUUGAAGGGAAGUGUGGGGGGUGUGCUUAUGUGAAAUAAUGUUAGGAUUCGGCUGUUGCCUUGACAACACAGCCAGAAAGCAGUUGGAUGGGCUUUAAGAGUUGGGGCGGAGCUUAAAGAUUAUAGCCUGCCCUCUUGACAAGGUUCUGAUUUAUGGAAAAAAAAAAACAACAACAACAACUUUUGUCCCGUCUCUCUCCCUCUUGAACUUGCUGCUUUGACAAUUAAAUGUGUAAAAGGUUUCAUUGGUAUUUAUUUAUUUAUUUAUUUAUUUAUUUAUUUAUUUAUUUGACUGAAGGAACUUUAUUCCAUUUUGUUUUCAUUUAUAUAUUUAUGUACGAAUGCUAGGUUUUGUUUCCCUCAUUCUUUAUUUCAGACAUUAAUAUGUAUGUAUAAAUAAGGCUUAUUGGGGCUUUUUCUCUCUUUCUCCUUUUUUCAAUUUUACAAUAAAAAACUUUAAAUGAACUCCGAAAUCUUGUGUCACGCUCAUUUUUUUUUGUUCCACAACCUGCUGUGUUUUACAAGAUAGUAGACAUUUAUUUGAUCAAAUUGCUCCUGAUCAGCAUUUGAAGUAAAAACUGGAGAAAAAAAAAAAAAAAGAAUUACGUACAAUCCUACAGGAAGUGGCUGCAACAUUUCCGACGUUGAAAGCGGUUAAGCUUUUCUGACAAAUCAGAAAAUCUGACAAAUCAGGUUACAAGUUGGGAGGGCAAGCUAGAGAAACAAGGUGAAACAUUUGUCUUGUUAGUGAGCGAAUAUAAAGAUAUUUAUGAAAAUAUGUAUUACCUAUAUUACAUUGCAACAUUGUUAAAUAACUAAAAUAAAUAAAUAAAGUUUCUAUUUGGGACAUUCCCCAGUAUGAAUACGUCCCACUUUACCUGUGUGGCUGCAUACAGUGAAGUUGCACAAGCAGCUCAAACUCUUUUGAU